RNAcentral lists this ribosomal RNA (219 nucleotides) under Shigella sp. FC2117. RNAcentral's name for it is "partial 23S ribosomal RNA". It matches the Rfam family "Bacterial large subunit ribosomal RNA", at positions 422 to 639 of the family's 2925-position model. The record is from RNAcentral. Lineage: Bacteria; Pseudomonadati; Pseudomonadota; Gammaproteobacteria; Enterobacterales; Enterobacteriaceae.
ACACGUGGUAUCCUGUCUGAAUAUGGGGGGACCAUCCUCCAAGGCUAAAUACUCCUGACUGACCGAUAGUGAACCAGUACCGUGAGGGAAAGGCGAAAAAGAACCCCGGCGAGGGGAGUGAAAAAGAACCUGAAACCGUGUACGUACAAGCAGUGGGAGCACGCUUAGGCGUGUGACUGCGUACCUUUUGUAUAAUGGGUCAGCGACUUAUAUUCUGUA